UUGGACCUGAUAUCAGGUA
This 19-nucleotide ribosomal RNA is filed under the name Pythium aphanidermatum. RNAcentral's name for it is "partial 28S ribosomal RNA". The record is from RNAcentral. Lineage: Eukaryota; Oomycota; Peronosporomycetes; Pythiales; Pythiaceae.